AUGUAUGGAAGCAUCCUGGGAGGUGGAACUGUGUGGAGCCCAGGAUCAUAUUCAUUAGGGCACAACGUAGCAAAACAUUUUGCAACAGAAAAGAAACAUGAACAUACUUCUAAAGCAAAUGUUGGAAGAAUCUCUACGAUGGAUUUUCACACAUACUCAAGUGAACCCCACUGUCCUCCCCUCCCCAGGUGCCCCCCCUCUGUGGACCCCCCUAGCGUGACCCCCUGUGGCUGGUUCAGAAGGAAUCCCCUCCACCCUGCACCGAGGACCAGUUACGACCUGCGGGAGCGCAUCUGCAUCGGCAGUAUGACGACCAUGGAAACAGCUGUGUACCAGAAGGUGCCCACUGACGACGCUGAGGCUGAGAUGCUGGCUAGCGCUGAUCUGGACGACAUGAAAAGUCACCGAUUCGAGGACAACCCUGGAGUGAGGCGUCACCUGGUGAAGAAGUCAUCUCGAUGCCAGCUCCUCCAGACCACCAACAGCUCUUCGCAACUGUCCAGCGUGAAGAAGAAGAGGACGGCUGACAAGAAGACCCAUGAGGUGUUUGUGGAACUCAAUGAGCUGAUAGUGGAUAAGAACCAGGAAAUGCGCUGGAAGGAGACGGCCCGUUGGAUCAAGUUUGAGGAGGACGUGGAGGAGGAGACAGACCGCUGGGGAAAACCCCACGUGGCUUCGCUUUCCUUCCGUAGCCUGCUGGAGCUCCGCAGGACCAUCACACAUGGUGCCGUCCUUUUGGACCUGGAGCAGACCACCUUGCCUGGUAUUGCUCACCUGGUGGUGGAGACCAUGAUCAUCUCAGACCAGAUCAGAGCGGAGGACCGUGCCAACGUGCUCCGCGCCCUGCUGCUCAAACACCACCACCCCAACGACGAAAAGGAGGGCCUCUUCCAUCGCAACCACUCUAGUAACAGCCUUCAAGGCAGCUUCUACCACAACCACGUUCCCAACACUGCGCUGCCCCUUGUGGCCGAUGACCAUGCAGUAGUCCACCACCACCACCUUGACAACAAAGCACCAGACCAUGACAAAGAGGUGUUUGUGAGCUUGUUUAUGAGUGGCGUGGGCAAAGUGUUGCUUUUUUGUUUACAUUGUUUCCAAAGAUCCUCAACUGUGUGUCAUUCCUCAGGGUGUGUGGAGUUCUUGGAGCAGCCGGCCAUGGCCUUCAUCAGGCUGAGUGAGGCAGUGCUGCUGGAGUCGGUCCUGGAGGUGCCGGUGCCGGUCCGUUUCCUCUUUGCCCUGCUCGGCCCCGCUCAGUCCAACAUGGACUAUCACGAGAUCGGACGCUCCUUCUCCACCCUGAUGUCUGACAAGAACUUCCACGAGGUGGCUUACUUCGCGGACGACCGGCAGGACCUGCUGAACGGCAUCAAUGAGUUCCUGGACUGCAGCAUCGUUAUCCCCCCGUCGGACGUGGAGGGCAAGGACCUGCUAAAGACGGUAGCCUCCUUCCAGAAGCAGAUGCUGCGCAAGAGGAAGGAGAGAGAGAACAUUAAGAAGGGCCUGACCCAUGCCACCCCCGGGACAGACCAGGAGACCAAAGAGGAGGACCAGGAGGUGGACCCCAUGAAGCGGUCGGGCAUCCCCUUCGGAGGCCUCAUCCAUGACAUCAGGCGACGCUACCCACGCUACGCCAGUGACAUCAAGGACGCCUUGGACUCACAGUGCAUUGCAGCCGUCAUCUUCAUCUACUUCGCAGCCCUCUCGCCCACCAUCACCUUCGGAGGACUGCUGGGAGAGAAAACAGAGGGCAUGAUGGGAGUGUCUGAGCUUAUCAUCUCCACGGCGACCCUGGGGGUGCUGUUCUCGCUGUUGGCCGGACAGCCCCUGCUCAUCAUCGGAUUCUCAGGACCGCUGCUGGUGUUUGAGGAGGCCUUCUACAAGUUCUGCCAGGCCCAGGGCUUUGAGUACCUGACUGGCCGGGUGUGGAUCGGCUUCUGGCUCGUCUUCAUAGUGCUGUUGAUAGUAGCGGCUGAGGGCAGCUUCUUGGUCAAAUACAUCUCACCCUUCACCCAGGAGAUCUUCGCCUUCCUCAUCUCGCUCAUCUUCAUCUAUGAGACCUUCUCGAAGCUCAUCAAGGUAUUCCAGGAGCAUCCUUUGAUGAGAAGCUACCCGCCUGCUCUCAGCCUGCCCGGUAUGGACUUCAUCAACCCCACAGACCCCGGGGGCCCGGUCCUAAACCAACCCAACACAGCCUUGCUGUCUCUCGUCCUUAUGCUUGGCACCUUCUUUGUGGCCUUCUUCCUCAGGAAAUUGCGCAAUAGUCGCUUCCUGGGCGGGAAGGCCAGAAGAAUCAUCGGAGACUUUGGCAUCCCCAUCUCCAUCCUCUUCUCUGUACUGUUGAGUUACUCCAUCCCCGACACUUACACCCAGAAGCUAAAUGUACCAUCUGGUUUCUCGGUCACGUCUCCUGACAAGCGGGGCUGGUUGAUCAGUCCAUUCGGUGACAAGAAGCCCUUUCCCUUGUGGAUGAUGGGGGCUUCGGUGGUGCCCGCCCUCCUUGUCUUCAUCCUCAUCUUCAUGGAGACACAGAUCACCUCACUAAUCGUCAGCAAGAAGGAGCGUCGCCUGGUCAAGGGAUCGGGCUUCCACCUGGACCUGCUGCUCAUUGUCACACUGGGCGCCAUGUGCCCUCUGUUAGGCCUGCCCUGGCUCACAGCCGCCACUGUGCGCUCUGUCACGCAUGUCAACGCCCUUACUGUCAUGAGCAAGGCCACGGCACCUGGCGAGAAGCCUAUGAUCCAGGAGGUGAAGGAGCAGCGGGUGACUGGCCUGGUAGUUGCCGUGCUCGUGGGUAUGUCUAUCGUGAUGACGGACGUGCUCCGUAACAUCCCAUUGGCCGUGCUGUUCGGGAUCUUCCUCUACAUGGGCGUCACGUCGAUCACCGGCAUCCAGCUCUACGAGCGCAUCACACUCAUGUUCACGCCCGCCAAGCACCACCCCGACCACAUAUACGUGACCAAGGUGAAGACAUGGCGUAUGAAUAUGUUCACCAUCAUCCAGCUGGCCUGCAUCGUGCUACUGUGGGUGGUCAAGUCGACCGUGGCCUCACUCGCCUUCCCCUUCAUCCUCAUCCUGACCGUGCCGCUCCGCCGCCUCAUCCUCUCCCGGAUCUUUGAGGAGCGUGAGCUUCAGGCGGACUCCCCCAACUUUGACGAGGAUGGUCGGGACGAGUAUAAUGAGAUUCACAUGCUUGUGUAG
This 3201-nucleotide long non-coding RNA is filed under the name Salmo trutta (river trout). Its description in RNAcentral is "lncRNA (ENSSTUG00000007096.1)". Lineage: Eukaryota; Metazoa; Chordata; Actinopteri; Salmoniformes; Salmonidae. The record is from RNAcentral.